CGGGUGAGUAACACGUGGGUAACCUGCCCAUAAGACUGGGAUAACUCCGGGAAACCGGGGCUAAUACCGGAUAACAUUUUGAACCGCAUGGUUCGAAAUUGAAAGGCGGCUUCGGCUGUCACUUAUGGAUGGACCCGCGUCGCAUUAGCUAGUUGGUGAGGUAACGGCUCACCAAGGCAACGAUGCGUAGCCGACCUGAGAGGGUGAUCGGCCACACUGGGACUGAGACACGGCCCAGACUCCUACGGGAGGCAGCAGUAGGGAAUCUUCCGCAAUGGACGAAAGUCUGACGGAGCAACGCCGCGUGAGUGAUGAAGGCUUUCGGGUCGUAAAACUCUGUUGUUAGGGAAGAACAAGUGCUAGUUGAAUAAGCUGGCACCUUGACGGUACCUAACCAGAAAGCCACGGCUAACUACGUGCCAGCAGCCGCGGUAAUACGUAGGUGGCAAGCGUUAUCCGGAAUUAUUGGGCGUAAAGCGCGCGCAGGUGGUUUCUUAAGUCUGAUGUGAAAGCCCACGGCUCAACCGUGGAGGGUCAUUGGAAACUGGGAGACUUGAGUGCAGAAGAGGAAAGUGGAAUUCC
This 582-nucleotide ribosomal RNA is filed under the name Bacillus sp. (in: firmicutes). RNAcentral describes it as "bacterial SSU rRNA". It matches the Rfam family "Bacterial small subunit ribosomal RNA", at positions 103 to 670 of the family's 1533-position model. Lineage: Bacteria; Bacillati; Bacillota; Bacilli; Caryophanales; Bacillaceae. The record is from RNAcentral.